This is a long non-coding RNA of Ailuropoda melanoleuca (giant panda), 641 nucleotides long. RefSeq lists it as uncharacterized. The transcript has 3 exons. Lineage: Eukaryota; Metazoa; Chordata; Mammalia; Carnivora; Ursidae. The record is from RefSeq and is a predicted model, not a curated record.
GGGUUCAGAGGUGGACAAGACUAUGGGAUAGCGCUACCCCCUAUUCCUCCUUGUUAACAAAAUCUCAUCUCAGUCCAGGGUGGCAAUGUACCCAGCUCCCAGGGAUGAAUCCUGACAGGUUAAAAAGUCACAAUUCUGUUUACUAUUCAUCUAGCCUAACAGCAGCAAGGGAUGGCUAAGUGACCUAGUACUGACCAAUGAAAUAUAAAAUGACAUCUGUUGGGGACUUUUGGGGGAUCUUUUGCUCUUCUGUUAAAAAAAAAAAAAAAAAAAGACAAGUACAACUUCUUUCCCCUUUCUUUCUUCUUCGAACAUAGGUAUGAUGCCUGGAGCUGCUGCAGCCAUCUCAUGCCCACAAAAUAAAGCCCAAGAGAACUGCCGGGAUACUGGGCCUGACUCUGCUGAGCUGCUGAACGACACCAGGCUGCCACCUACCACAAAUUUCUUGUCAUGUCAGCCACGGUGAUCGACACCAAGAAAGAUCACAACCAAGAAAAAUACUGGAAGAAAGGCCAUUCCUCUACUGGGUAACACCCAAGGCCUCGGCAGGCCAUACAGUGAACUUCUGACCACAAGGACUACUCAUUCACCAGCUUUUACAUUUCCUGCCUUUAAGUUUCAUUGGUCAGGAGAAGCCACAA